GACGAACGCUGGCGGCGUGCUUAACACAUGCAAGUCGAACGGAAAGGCCCUGCUUUUGUGGGGUGCUCGAGUGGCGAACGGGUGAGUAACACGUGAGUAACCUGCCCUUGACUUUGGUAUAACUUCAGGAAACUGGGGCUAAUACCGGAUAGGAGCUCCUGCAGCAUGGUGGGGGUUGGAAAGUUUCGGCGGUUGGGGAUGGACUCGCGGCUGAUGAGCUUGUUGGUGGGGUAGUGGCUUACCAAGGCUUUGACGGGUAGCCGGCCUGGGAGGGUGACCGGCCACAUUGGGACUGCGGUACGGCCCAGACUCCUACGGGAGGCAGCAGUGGGGAAUAUUGCCCAAUGGGAGGAAGCCUGAUGCAGCAACGCCGCGUGCGGGAUGACGGCCUUCGGGUUGUAAACCGCUUCCGCCUGUGACGAAGCGUUAGUGACGGUAAUGGGUAAAGAAGCACCGGCUAACUACGUG
This 468-nucleotide ribosomal RNA is filed under the name uncultured bacterium. RNAcentral describes it as "partial 16S ribosomal RNA". It matches the Rfam family "Bacterial small subunit ribosomal RNA", at positions 28 to 507 of the family's 1533-position model. The record is from RNAcentral.